This 247-nucleotide unclassified non-coding RNA is filed under the name Paraglomus sp. RNAcentral describes it as "partial internal transcribed spacer 2". The record is from RNAcentral. Lineage: Eukaryota; Fungi; Glomeromycota; Glomeromycetes; Paraglomerales; Paraglomeraceae.
GUGAAUCAUCAAAUUUUUGAACGCAAAUUGCGCCUUUUUCGGAAGGCAGGUGUGUGUGAGGGCAACGGUUAACAAAUAAUGUGCAGCGGGUUUUGUUGCACACGGUGAUGAGCUUUGCAAGAAUGUUAAAUUUUUGGUGGCGCAUAAUGAACAGCGAGAAAGUUUUUUUCAGGUAGAGUGUAGUAAAAUCUGUGCUUGGGUUGUGAAAAAAAAUAAUCGCGCAAUGGGUGUGGCAGUUGCGUUUUAU